This 368-nucleotide RNase P RNA is filed under the name Burkholderiales bacterium. RNAcentral's name for it is "RNase P RNA component class A". It matches the Rfam family "Bacterial RNase P class A". From Rfam's summary of the family: Ribonuclease P (RNase P) is a ubiquitous endoribonuclease, found in archaea, bacteria and eukarya as well as chloroplasts and mitochondria. Its best characterised activity is the generation of mature 5'-ends of tRNAs by cleaving the 5'-leader elements of precursor-tRNAs. Cellular RNase Ps are ribonucleoproteins. Lineage: Bacteria; Pseudomonadati; Pseudomonadota; Betaproteobacteria; Burkholderiales. RNAcentral also lists the same sequence under 1 other name. The record is from RNAcentral.
GAAGUCGGUCGGGUAAUCGCUGCAUGAUCUUUGGAUUUGUAGAGGAAAGUCCGGGCUCCAAAGAGCGGGGUGCCGGUUAACGACCGGACGUUGUGAGACGAUGGAUAGUGCAACAGAAAGCGUACCGCCUUGAUCGAAAGAUUCGAGGUAAGGGUGAAAAGGUGAGGUAAGAGCUCACCGCGGCCUUGGCAACAGGGUUGGCAGUGUAAACCCCACCCGGAGCAAGACCAAAUAGGAGGGCUUAGACGUUGCUCGCGUUGCCCUCGGGUAGGUCGCUAGAAUCAAAGGGUAACUUUUGAUCCAGAUGAAUGAUUGCCUCUCGACUUUCAGUCGAAAGACAGAACCCGGCUUAUAGACCGACUUCCAAA